RNAcentral lists this ribosomal RNA (798 nucleotides) under Salmonella enterica subsp. enterica serovar Senftenberg. RNAcentral's name for it is "partial 23S ribosomal RNA". It matches the Rfam family "Bacterial large subunit ribosomal RNA", at positions 2133 to 2925 of the family's 2925-position model. RNAcentral also lists the same sequence under 2 other names. The record is from RNAcentral. Lineage: Bacteria; Pseudomonadati; Pseudomonadota; Gammaproteobacteria; Enterobacterales; Enterobacteriaceae.
GAUGUGUAGGAUAGGUGGGAGGCUUUGAAGUGUGGACGCCAGUCUGCAUGGAGCCGACCUUGAAAUACCACCCUUUAAUGUUUGAUGUUCUAACGUGGACCCGUGAUCCGGGUUGCGGACAGUGUCUGGUGGGUAGUUUGACUGGGGCGGUCUCCUCCUAAAGAGUAACGGAGGAGCACGAAGGUUGGCUAAUCCUGGUCGGACAUCAGGAGGUUAGUGCAAUGGCAUAAGCCAGCUUGACUGCGAGCGUGACGGCGCGAGCAGGUGCGAAAGCAGGUCAUAGUGAUCCGGUGGUUCUGAAUGGAAGGGCCAUCGCUCAACGGAUAAAAGGUACUCCGGGGAUAACAGGCUGAUACCGCCCAAGAGUUCAUAUCGACGGCGGUGUUUGGCACCUCGAUGUCGGCUCAUCACAUCCUGGGGCUGAAGUAGGUCCCAAGGGUAUGGCUGUUCGCCAUUUAAAGUGGUACGCGAGCUGGGUUUAGAACGUCGUGAGACAGUUCGGUCCCUAUCUGCCGUGGGCGCUGGAGAACUGAGGGGGGCUGCUCCUAGUACGAGAGGACCGGAGUGGACGCAUCACUGGUGUUCGGGUUGUCAUGCCAAUGGCACUGCCCGGUAGCUAAAUGCGGAAGAGAUAAGUGCUGAAAGCAUCUAAGCACGAAACUUGCCCCGAGAUGAGUUCUCCCUGAGACUUAGAGUCUCCUGAAGGAACGUUGAAGACGACGACGUUGAUAGGCCGGGUGUGUAAGCGCAGCGAUGCGUUGAGCUAACCGGUACUAAUGAACCGUGAGGCUUAACCUU